Long non-coding RNA from Larimichthys crocea (large yellow croaker), 750 nucleotides. RefSeq lists it as uncharacterized. The record is from RefSeq and is a predicted model, not a curated record. NCBI's taxonomy places the organism in Eukaryota, Metazoa, Chordata, Actinopteri, Sciaenidae. The transcript has 2 exons.
GUCAUGCAUAUGCCAUGCAAAAAGCCAAGGCGCCCCGCGGAGUGUGUGUCACCCCGGGACAACGGACACAAGAGGAAACAAAAAAAAAAAAAAUGUGGUGAGAUCGUGAGCAGCAGAGAACCCGGCGAGGGCGUGACACACUCCACGUGCUACAUGUGGCAGAUUAAUGAGGACACAUCGGGAUAAUUAACACACACUAACGAGGCAGAGGGCCAAACAGUUGUUUCAGUGACAUUCAUGAGUCAUUACACCUUUAAAGAUUUUAAAUCUUACAAACAGGGAGACAAUGAUUAAGACUUAUCAAAGAUUUGGGGACUUUGUGAGGUAGUAGUCAACAGGUGCGAACACAUCAGUGGAGGACAUCGUCUAUCUGUGACGGUUUUAGUGUAAAAUCAGUUUCAAGUCUUUAUUGAAGCAUCGCUGUGAGUUCAAACUGUUACUGAUGCCAACAGUGAGAUUCCACUUUAAUUUUUCUGCUUUUAUCCACAUGAAAAUACUUGAACAAAGGUUGUUAUGAUACCCACAGAGUAUUUCAUUUGCUGCCUGGUGUUCAUGAAGGCGGUGCGGCUGUCCACCUCCAUGCUUGAUCUGGUGUUACUUACUUACUUAAUAAACCUUCCACAUUUGUUUUUAUGAGCUGCAAACAGACGCCGCGUUAAACUGAAGGAUGUAACGAGUACAGAUACUCAGCCCUGAAUUAGCAUGGGAUGGUCACUGCACAUCAUGAGGAUAUAAUCAACAAUUAAAAGA